GUCUUGGAUUACAUACACGGAACUCAGUUCCUAAGGACGGUUCCAAUGAAACAACCCGCCAUGUACUCCUACAUAGCCUUUCACCGGUACCUUUACCAAAUCAGGUUCAACCACACAACCUUUACUUACUGAACACAUUCUCACAAUUCUGUUUAUCACCCAGAUGACAGACCAUACACAACUCUAAGCAUAGCAUGCAUAGCAGGAUAAGGCACAUCACGGCUCAAGCAUCUACCAGGUAUGCUAGGUUGCACGGUUCAGCUAUUUACUGUGACAAGGACAAGUCAUGCAAGGAAGUGGUUCAACUAGAGUGGUAAAAGCAUUGAAAGCAUUUUCCCUAAUGCAAGAAAUAAGAGCAGGAGCGAGAACAUGGGAUUUAUCGGGAUGAUCAAAAUGGUUGCUUGCCUUGUUGCUCAACAGAGGGACAAUAUCCGUCAGUCGGAUAUUCGGUGGAAUCCGGAGGAGCGGGGCCUACCGGUAAAACAAUAUCAAUCAAUAACAAUCAUAUGCAACAAGAUGAUGCAUGAGCAUGUCAUGAAAAUGAAAGGUGGUAGGCUAAUGUAGCUACCAUUUCUUAAGUUGAAGUUGAUUUGAAUCAAGAUUCAAAUAUCACUUCAAACAAUGUAUUUUUCUAAAACCCUUUUAAUUGAUUCGACUUGAUGCUGAGAUAAUCUUGUUUUAGCAUGCAUGAUGAUGGUAUGUUGGGCUGCUGGUUGUGCUUGAUCAUGGUUUGGUCAUAAUAUCUGAAGUGGAUCUCAAAUGGAUUUCAAAUUCCAACUCCAAAUUAUUUAAUAAGGUUAUCCUAUUCAUCAUUUUAUUUGUUUGGUGAUGUUAACAUUUUCAAACAUAAUUUAAAAUAACAAACUCAGAUUCCUUGGAUUUUUCUGAUCCUUUUUCAUAUAUAAAUUAUUUUCAUUGGAGUUACAGAUUAAUUUCUAUGAUUUUUAGAAGUUUUGGACACUUUUUAGAAUUAUUUUAAAACAGAAAUUCUCUUUAUUGCGUCAUAACUACGUGAGCACUGUGUUAGCAAGUCAGCCGACCUGGUCAGGUCAAACCUGACAGGUGGGGGCCACUGGUGAGCGACAGAGGAGAUAAUCCCGUGCUGACCAGCCCCUAAGUGGGUUUGACCCACUGCUAGGGCCCACUAUCAGUGACUAAUUAGUGCUAAACAACAGGGAUUAGGCUGGCCACGUCGUCCCCCUGUCGGAGACUGACCGGGGACGACCAGAUCCGCGGCAGAUCUUCGUUGGAGAUGCACCACAGCUUGCUGUGGUGCUCGGAAUCGAGUGCCGAGAGCACUGCGAUGAUCCCCACGCUCGGCCUUAUCCACUACGGGCAUCAGGAGGGGCUGAGGGUGGCCGGAGGAUGCCGGCGACGAGCCGAGGCGGCUGCCGGAGCUCGGGCUUGUCGGUCCCGUGGCUAGAGUGCAGGAGAACGAGGGGAAACAAGGGGGAAAUGCUCGUGAGCUCACGGCUUAGAUGGCUCGGGGAGGUGCUGUAGCCGGCGAUCCAACGUCGAUUUGCCGGCGACCGGAGGUUGAAGACGACGGCAAUGGGGCAUUGCUGAGGUGAGGGAGGCCGAUUCCUUUGGCAUGCGCGUCGAGCUCGAUGAGGCGGAGAGGAUGGAGCACUCGGGGAGGCUUCUCUGUGGCCAGAGAGCUUGGGCUCCUCGAGCUCAAGCUCCUGCUAAUGGUGGCAGGGAGAGGAGAGAAGAAAACCGAGAGGAGGGGAAGAAUGGAGAGCGGGGAAGGAUAAGGACUCGUUCGAGGAAGUCAUUCCCGACGUCGUGCUGUACUCGGGGCACCGGGGAGCGCCACGGCGAAGCAGGAGGUGGAGGGGGUCACCGUGGUCGAUCUCUCCUCUACCAGAAGGCAGACGAAGAAGACGACCCUGCCCCUGGUGGGCCGGGCCUUGCAGGUAAGCGUAGGAUAGGUUUUUUCCUUUUCUUCUGUUUCUGUUUUCUAUUUUAUUUGCUGAUAUUAUUAGCUAUUUAUUUUGGCUUCAAAAAGAAAUUCAAAAAUUAGUUUGAAUAGCCCUGAGUGUUAGUUGGAAUAUUUCCAACUAGUCCUGAGGCUUGCAACAUUUUUGAAGACUUGAAUAUUUUUGAAUUCAAAUAUAAGGUUGAAUUCAGGGGCUUUCUGAAUUUAAAUAAAAUGCCAAAAGUGAUUUGAAAAUAGAUUUCACCCGUGAUAACUUAUUUUCAAUAUUUAUCAGAAAAGGUGAACUUUUAAGAAGGCCAUUUUGGGUUCAUUGAUUUUGGCAAGAUUUGAAUUUCCUUUGAAUAAGAAGUGGCUAGGGUUUUUGGUUUGAGUUUCACCACUUCCUUUGAUUUUGUUUCAACUUCUUGAAUGCAACGUAAGAAGACAUGAGCACAAAUACUAAACCCUAGUUAGGGAUCCAGGGAUGUGACAACUCACCCCCACUCAAAAGAAUCUCGUCCCGAGAUUUGGAAGUCGUCGGGAAUAGCGCGGGAUACUCAAGUCAAAGACGAUCCUCCCUUUCCCAUGUUGCCUCCUUUUCGGAAUGACAUGACCAUUGAACUUUAAGAAACUUGAGGUUUCGACGUCAAGUGGUAUGCUCAGCUUAAUCAAGAAUACGCACAUGGUAUUCUCGGUAUGAAAGGUUAUCUUGGAGAUCAAGCGUUUCGUGGUCCACUUCACGGAUAGGAUCCGAAAAGCAACGCCUGAGUUGCGAGACGUGGAAAACAUCAUGAACCUUGGAAAGAUGUGGAGGAAGUUCCAACUGGUAGGCAAGUUCUCCUCGUUUGGCAAGAAUGCGAAAAGGACCAAUGUAACGAGGAGCCAACUUGCCCUUGAUACCGAAUUGAUGGGUACCCUUCAAAGGUGUAACCCGAAGGUAAGCCUUCUCGUCAACUUCAAAGGUCACAACCUUAUGAUGACGAUCAUAUUGGCUCUUUUGACGAGACAGGGCUGUUUUCAACUUUUCACGAAUAAUGUGAACCUGCUCUUCUGCAUCAUGGAUCAUAUCUGGGCGAAAGAGUUGCCUCUCUCCGGUUUCUGACCAAUUAAGAGGUGUUCGACAUCCUCGUCCAUAGAGAACUUCAAAAGGAGCUUUGCCCAAGCUUGAUUGAUAACUAUUAUUAUAAGCAAAUUCAACGAAUGGAAGGCACUUCUCCCAAUUCAUACCGAACGAUAUAACACAAGCUCGGAGCAUAUCUUCUAGGACUUGAUUCACUCUUUCUACUUGACCACUUGAUUGAGGAUGGAAAGCACUGCUAAAAGAUAAGUGAGUCCCCAUAGCAUUCUGAAAACUCUCCCUGAUGCGAGAAGUAAAGAUACUUCCAUGGUCUGAGUUAAUCUCCAUAGGAACACCAUGAAGAGACACUAUUCGAGAGAUAUAUAACUCUGCUAGCUGGCUAGCUGUUAUACUCUCACGAACUGGAAGAAAAUGAGCUACUUUGGAGAGACGGUCAAUGACCACAAAGAUAGCAUUAUUUCCUUUUUGGUCUUGGGAAAUCCGGUGAUGAAAUCCAUACUGACUUUAUCCCAUUUCCAUUCAGGAAUAGCUAAGGGUUGAAGGGUGCCAGCAGGCCUUUGAUGUUCUGCCUUAACUCGACGACAGACGUCGCUGUUAGCAACAAACUCAGCAAUUUCUCUCUUCAUCCUAGUCCACCAAAACCUCUGGUGUAGGUCGUGAUACAUCUUAGUACUACCAGGAUGAAUGGUGAGAGGAGAAUCAUGAGCCUCCUUAAGUAUCAAUUGCCGCAUACGUUUCCUCUUAAGAACCACUAAACGGUUCUGAAAGAACACAACACCUUGCUCAUUGAUGGAGAAUUCCCUAGCAUUUCCGCUAGCAAUAUUCUCCUUGAUCCGGGAUAUACGCUUAUCGUAUGCCUGCACGGCUAUGAUUUGAUCCCUAAGAGUAGGCUUUGCCACCAGGGUAGAAAGGAAUCCUUGAGGAACAAUAUGAAGAUUUAACUUCCGAAAUUCCUCAUAGAGACGUGGUUGACCUCGUUGUAGCAUCAAAUUGUUACAAUAAGACUUACGACUUAGUGCAUCAGCCAUAACAUUGGCCUUCCCCGGGGUGUAAGUUAUUCCUAAGUUGUAAUCCGUGAUCAACUCAACCCACCAUCUUUGCCUGAGAUUCAAAUCCGGCCGAGUGAAGAUAUAUUUUAGACUUUGGUGAUCAGUGAAUAUUUCGCAACGAUUACCAAGAAGGUAAUGUCGCCAGGUUUUAAGUGCAUGGACUACAGCUGCAAGCUCAAGAUCAUGUGUGGGAUACUUAUCCUCAUGUGGACGCAACUGUCGAGAUGCGUAUGCAAUCACAUGAUGAUCUUGCAAGAGAAUGCAACCUAAUCCUUGUCGCGAGGCGUCACAGUAGAUAACAAAGUCCUUAUAGAAAUCUGGUGGUAGCAACAUAGGUGCUGAAGUCAGGCUUCUUUUCAGUUCCUGAAAACUAUGCUCACACUAUGGUGUCCACUCGAACUUUUUAUCUUUCUUGAGGAGUUCAGUUAGAGGCUUUGCAACCUUGGAGAAAUUAUCGACAAACCGGCGACAAUAGCUCGCUAGACCAAGAAAACUCCUAACUUGCUUACCGAUUCAGGUUGAGUCCAGUCAAGGACAGCUUGAACUCUCUCGGGAUUGACAGCAAUACCCUUACCAGAGAUUACGUGACCUAGAUAGGUCACUUCUGGUACCCAAAAUUUACAUUUUGAAAACUUGGCAUAACGGCGAUGCUCUUGAAGUUUCAUCAAUACCAGCCUUAGAUGCUCGGCAUGUUCUUGUUCGUUCUUCGAGUAGAUGAGAAUAUCGUCGAGGUAUACUACGACGAAUUUAUCCAAAUACUCCAUGAAGAUUGAAUGCAUCAAGCGAGAGAAGGUGGCUGGGGCAUUGGUUAAACCGAAGGACAUGACGGUGUACUCGUAUUGGCAAUAACGAGUGACAAAAGCCGUUUUUGGAAUGUCCCCGUUCUUGAUCUUGAUUUGAUGGUAUCCCAACCUCAAAUCCAUUUUUGAGAAGAUUGAGGAUCCAGCGAGCUGAUCAUACAGAUCUUUGAUCCUCGGGAGCGGAUAUUUGUCCUUUAUGGUGACCAGAUUAACAGGUCGGUAAUCUAUAAUCAUCCGAUCCGUUCCGUCUUUCUUCUUGACGAAGAGGACGGGACAAACCCAAGGAGAAGAGCUAGGACGAAUGAUACCUUUAUUCAAGGCCUCAUCUAGUUGCUUCUUAAGUUCGCCUAGCUCCAGGGGUGCCAUCUUAUAAGGUCUUCUGGCUAUUGGAAGAGUUCCCGGAACAAGAUCUAUCACAAACUCUAUAUCUCUAUCAGGUGGAAUUCCUGGCACUUCCUCUGGAAAAACAUCCGAGAAGUCACGGACUACCGGAAUGUCUUCAAGUUAUGGAAGAGGGUUGGCAUUAAGGGAAUAGAGUUGGCAUUUGGCAACUCGAGUAGAGACAUUGACUAUCUCACCCAAGGGAUGGGUAAGCUGAACAUUUCUAGAAUGACUAUCAAUCUUGGCAUAGUGAGCUGACAUCCAGUCCAUACCCAAGAUGAUAUUGAUAUCCGAAGAUUUCAAGGCUAUCAAAGAUGCUAGAAAAACUAGUCUGUCUACUAGAAUUUCAUUGUCAUAGGUUAUCCUGGAGGUUUUCCACUUACUACUAGGGGUUUGGACAACCAACGGGAUUGGCAUAUAACAAAAAGAUAUGUUAUGCAACUGUGAAUAACUUUCUGAAAUGAAGGAAUGAGAAGACCCAGUGUCAAAAAGAACAGACGUUGGGUGAUGAUUAACAAGGAGCGUACCUAGUAUGACGUCGGGAUCCUUUGCAGCUUCUUCUGCUGAAACAUAGUUCACACGGGCACGUGUAGGAGUUGGCUUCACAUAAUAAGCUUUGCCUGACUUGCCUUGCCCAACGGACUUUCUGGGUUGCUUGGCACCCACAUUCUGAGGACAGUCUCGGGAGUAGUGCCCUGGUUCUCCACACUUGUAAGAAAUCACCUGAUUGGCACGUGGUGCAGCAUUGCUCGCUGGACCACCAUAGAUUUUUGCUGGGGGGUUGGUCUGAUUCGUCUGAGGCGCCCCAUAGGAUGGCCUCGGAGUAUAUCUUGGCGACAGAGAACUAUUUGGAACCCACAACCUGUGUUUUGGGAACGCGGAACCAGAUGACGAGCCAAAGUCACGGGAGUGCUUCUUUGUAGCUUCGUAGUCAGUAUGACCAGUCUCGACACUGAUCGCCUUUUUGACCAGGGCUUGGAAGCUUGUACAUUCGUGGAGGCGCAAAUCACGACAAAGCUCAGGGCUCAGACCCUUACGAAAUCUUGCUUGCUUCUUGGCAUCAGUAGACACCUCCUCUGUUGCAUAGCGGGCGAGGUUACCGAACUCGCGGCUAUAUGCAUCCACGGUCAACUUUCCCUGGGUGAAUGCACAGAAACCCUCUCUCUUUCUGUCCAUCAGGCCCUCUGGAAUAUCGUGCAGACGGAAGGCUGCACUAAAGUCUGCCCAUGUGGCUGCUGGUUCAGCAGGACGCAUAGCUUCAAAGUUCUCCCACCACAUAUUGGCUGGUCCUUCCAGAAAGUAUGCCACAAAGGUCACCUUGUCGGCCUCAGAAACAUUCGUAGAGCGAAUCUUGCGUGAUAUACUACACAACCAAUCAUCAGCGUCGAGGGGAUCGACGGAGUGAUGGAACUUUGGAGGAUUUAGCUUCACAAAGUCAUUGAGGGACACUGCAUCGUUCCUAGGCUGAUGAGCCAGAUUUUGCUCAAUACGCUCUAACAGACGGUUGGUCUCCCUUUUGUUUCUCUCUGCCUCAAGCAUAACUUCCGCCAGAGAGGGCGGGUGAGGUAGUUCCUCCUACGACGCUUGACUACCAUCGCCUUGCUCAUGAUCAGGGGCACGGUUCAACCUGGUGAACACCAUCCUGACAAACAAACUCAUAGCUUAGACCAAUAUCAUUAUCAAUACUAACUAUGGAUUAAGAAUGCACUAAACACAUGGAAUGCGGAAAUGAAUAUCCGAACAACAUGGUAAAAAGCAACUGCUAUAUAUACACCAUGGUUCAUACACACCAUUACAUAGUUCAGUACAACCUUAAACAAAGAGCAAACUACUGAAAACAUGAAACUACUCAUCAGAGGCUUCCAAGCUUCCUAUACAUUAUUUAUCUAUGCCUCCGGAAUUCAUCUCACGACACAACAUACUCCACAAGACACACAUGACCGUGGAAGUACAACUACUACCAUACUAUCCUUCCACUCGCGGUUCAGGCAUCCGCAUAGAACAUCUCAUAAAGAUUGCCUCCAUGGCCUGGAAGCUCAACAUGCGGAUCAGGAAAUACGCCAGCCUGAGACCCCUGGGAUCCAUAAGGACACGGGUGUGGCCUUGGUCCCCUGACUGGUGGUAGUAGAGGUCCCCGAAGAGGGGUGACUGCUCCUAUAGCAGGCCAGUCAACAUGAGCCAGAAGAUGGGUCCUAACAAGGUUCAGCCUCUCCAUAUCUCCAUAUCAUGUCUGGACUACAGGUGUCAGCUGCGUCAAAGCCGUCCACAGACGGGCACGUGUAGCAUAGAGCUCCAUACGAAGGGCACGAGCAUCCCAGUCUCUAUUCUCUAGCAUCACAUCAGUGGACUGCAGCAGCGGAUCCUCCAUAAAGGGAUCAAAGUAGACCCCACUGGGGUAUCCGUCUUCACCUAGCUGAGAGGCAGGAACAUAGCAGAACUCUGAAUUCUGCAGCAGUGCAUGUUUAGCCCUCAUGAUGGUCAGCAUUGAAUAGGCAGCAUCUUGUAGUGCCAUGUCAAUAGUGACCCCCAAUCCAUAAGACCAAUGGAUCGGCUCCUCAGCUCCAGGGUAAUCUAGGAAUACCCUAAUAGUGCAGAGGUACCGACUCUGAUUAAAAUCCCGGUAGUGCUCCUCCACUGUGUACUCUGGGUACCAGCGGUAACCGGACACUAACAUCAUCCUGACUAGCAUGGCAGUAUGACCUGGCACAUCAAUGCACCUAGGCAGACGAACCACCUGACGAGAAGGACGGCCAGGCAUCUGAAAAUAGAGAGUAAUGCAAAAGCAUUAGAGCUCUGAAGGCAAAAUUGGGUAGCAUAACGGCUGUAAAUGCUCAAAAACAAUUUUGAGACAACCCAUAAAAAUAAGAUAGCGUAACCACUCAACUAUCAAGUUCAAUUCACUGGUCAUCAAAACUUACUUCCUUUUCCUUGGGAUAAAAGAAACCCGAAGUACUCUCGACCCGUUGUCCUAUAACCUACCGAUCAGAAACACGAGCCUAAGAGAAGAUAAGUAACCUAGUCCUUAAUCCCCGCAGAAAAGACGAGGAUGACCAGAAUAGAAUAUAUUGAGAAGAGAAGCAAGAGUCUUACGUUCCCUUCCACAAACAAUUCCCUUAUAUAUAACUAAAGCAAUUCUAGACUCAACUUCGACUAGUUUGGCUUAGUAAUCCUACAGUCAGUCAGGCUCUGAUACCAAUGCUGUCGGGACCCCGAUCCUAAGCCAUAGGAAUCCAGCAUGUAACACAUCGCAUCUCUUUGCGGUUUCACGCACGGUUAUCCCCACGGCUGAAGCCUUACCUUAGCCGGGACCGUUUGCGCCUUUUGACUCGCGUAUGCAAUUGUGUCACUAGCAAUCCAAUGACAAAGAACCCGGAUCGACAUGUCUAGUCAUAAACCAAAGCGGCAGUUCCACACAGGGACAGGCAUACAUGACCCACCAAAGCAGGUGUCGAUGACCAGCGAAUGUAGACGAGUCGUAGCAAGCUACAAGGACUCCAUUACAUCGCGUGACAUUUCCCCAAAGGACAGAUACCGUAGCUAAGAAGGACACAUGCCGGUCAACCAAUGUGUCCGGAGCAGUAGUGAACUACCAUGGCUCACUGGAAUCACAAAGGGGCAUUUCCCUGUAAGGAGUGCUACUAAAGCCUACUGCUAGGUAUUCGAACCCCAUACAUAUCAAGUACAACACACAUACGCAUGGCAUACCGAUAUGUAUCGAUACAUCGAUGGCAUCACAACAUAACCAUAAACAUACAAACUUUAUUUAGAAGGCUCGGAAGAGCUACACACAUAAUAUUACAAGGUAGGGGUCUCACGACCCAUCAUCACAAGUCAUACACACAACUCUUACAAGCCAGCGGAAGAUUUAAAACUGUCUGAGUACAGACAGAGGGAAAGAUAAAGGCACAUGGCCUGACUAUCUACAGACCCAUCCUAGGGCCAGAUCGUAGCUGGGAUACCAGCUACUCGUCGUCGUCGAUGUCUAGGUAGAACCCUCCAUUAGGGUCAUUAACAACCUCUGCAACAAUUUAUUAAGAAAACGUGAGUACAAAAGUACUCAACAAGACUUUAGGAUAAACUAUCUACUCAUGCAAUGUAUCAAUAAGGAAUUGUGGGCUUUCAUGCGGAAAGCCAGCAUUUGACUCGUGGCUAGACAACUUGCAUUUUAAAUAGUUUUGACAACUUUGAUUUCUCGCACACGAGUCCACUAACACCACAACAAUACUCCAUCGUGGAAUCAUUUCGUCUCCAUACGAAAAUGGCAUCCACGACACUCACGCUUAUCUUGACAAUUUUAUGAGUAGCCAUUAUAGUUAUCUAUGAACAACAUAUGUUUCCAAGCAGUCCAUAUCCGCGGGCGCGGCUAUUCGAAUAGAUCAUAACCCUGCAGUGGUGUACUUAUUCACACACGCUCUCGCCACUUAUCGCCAUGUGCACGUCAUGCACCUCGACAACCUUCAAGCGGAAGCCCAGCGAGGGAGUCGACCACGACCGUUAACCACGUUAAUACUUAGUCCAGGUCUAUCGCCUAUCUAAGGGUAACCCGCACGGAAGUCCGGCCGAGGUUUUCUCCAUGGCCCCAAACGAUGUGCGCGGGGUUCCCAAGCCCACCAUUCGGGUGCCACUUGGUACACCGUGCCACUGCCUACCGCAUCAUAGCCCACCCCUAAGGUCAGCGCGACGCACGGCCUCCAGCAUGACUAUAAACACCAGAAACUACUUGCAACUCCUCGACCGAGUACUAAGCGAUUAAUAAGUCGAGAGGGUCAAUUAAGUAUCCCAACGUGUGGUAGUAUCUAGUCUUGGAUUACAUACACGGAACUCAGUUCCUAAGGACGGUUCCAAUGAAACAACCCGCCAUGUACUCCUACAUAGCCUUUCACCGAUACCUUUACCAAAUCAGGUUCAACCACACAACCUUUACUUACUGAACACAUUCUCACAAUUCUGUUCAUCACCCAGAUGACAGACCAUACACAACUCUAAGCAUAGCAUGCAUAGAAGGAUAAGGCACAUCAUGGCUCAAGCAUCUACCAGGUAUGCUAGGUUGCAAGGUUCGGCUAUUUACUGUGA
RNAcentral lists this long non-coding RNA (10299 nucleotides) under Hordeum vulgare. RNAcentral describes it as "long non-coding RNA (HVUL_LNC000732)". Lineage: Eukaryota; Viridiplantae; Streptophyta; Magnoliopsida; Poales; Poaceae. The record is from RNAcentral.